UGCAUGUCUAAGUACAUGCCGUAUUAAGGCGAAACCGCGAAUGGCUCAUUAAAUCAGUUAUGGUUCCUUGGAUCGUACCUUACUACUUGGAUAACUGUGGCAAUUCUAGAGCUAAUACAUGCAGCAGAGCUCCGACCCUCUGGGGACGAGCGCUUUUAUUAGACCAAAACCAAUCGGACCUCGUGUCCGUCUCUUGUGGUGACUCUGUAUAACUUUGGGCUGAUCGCACGGGCCCGUCCCGGCGACGUAUCUUUCAAGUGUCUGCCUUAUCAACUUUCGAUGGUAGGUUACGCGCCUACCAUGGUCGUAACGGGUAACGGGGAAUCAGGGUUCGAUUCCGGAGAGGGAGCCUGAGAAACGGCUACCACAUCCAAGGAAGGCAGCAGGCGCGCAAAUUACCCACUCCCAGAACGGGGAGGUAGUGACGAAAAAUAACAAUACGGGACUCUUUUGAGACCCCGUAAUUGGAAUGAGUACACUUUAAAUCCUUUAACGAGGAUCCAUUAGAGGGCAAGUCUGGUGCCAGCAGCCGCGGUAAUUCCAGCUCUAAUAGCGUAUAUUAAAGUUGUUGCGGUUAAAAAGCUCGUAGUUGGAUCUCAGUUCCAGACGGGUGGUCCUCCUUACGGUGGCUACUGCCUGUUCUGAACAGCCAGCCGGUUUCUCUUGAUGAUCUUCACCGGUUGUCUUGGGUGACCGGCAAGUUUACUUUGAAAAAAUUAGAGUGCUCAAAGCAGGCGUGACGCCUGAAUAAUGGUGCAUGGAAUAAUGGAAUAGGACCUCGGUUCUAUUUUGUUGGUUUUCGGAACACGAGGUAA
Molecule: ribosomal RNA, 815 nt
Filed under: Mastigusa sp.
Lineage: Eukaryota; Metazoa; Arthropoda; Arachnida; Araneae; Hahniidae
Description: SSU rRNA
Rfam family: Eukaryotic small subunit ribosomal RNA
Source: RNAcentral